This is a small nucleolar RNA of Pygocentrus nattereri (red-bellied piranha), 73 nucleotides long. NCBI's taxonomy places the organism in Eukaryota, Metazoa, Chordata, Actinopteri, Characiformes, Serrasalmidae. The record is from RefSeq and is a predicted model, not a curated record.
UGCACAUGAUGAUCUCUUUUUGCGGAAUCCGACUUUAAUGUGUGGAUACACACCUUGGAGAACUGAGCACUCG